RNAcentral lists this ribosomal RNA (223 nucleotides) under uncultured bacterium. Its description in RNAcentral is "partial 16S ribosomal RNA". It matches the Rfam family "Bacterial small subunit ribosomal RNA", at positions 524 to 745 of the family's 1533-position model. The record is from RNAcentral.
UACGUAGGGUGCGAGCGUUGUCCGGAAUUAUUGGGCGUAAAGAGCUCGUAGGCGGUCUGUCGCGUCGAUCGUGAAAACUUGGGGCUUAACCCUGAGCUUGCGGUCGAUACGGGCAUGACUGGAGUUCGGCAGGGGAGACUGGAAUUCCUGGUGUAGCGGUGAAAUGCGCAGAUAUCAGGAGAACACCAGUGGCGAAAGCAGGCUUCUGGGACCGGUACUGACG